Molecule: transfer RNA, 76 nt
Filed under: Myxococcales bacterium
Lineage: Bacteria; Pseudomonadati; Myxococcota; Myxococcia; Myxococcales
Description: tRNA-Thr
Rfam family: tRNA
About the family: Transfer RNA (tRNA) molecules are approximately 80 nucleotides in length. Their secondary structure includes four short double-helical elements and three loops (D, anti-codon, and T loops).
Source: RNAcentral
GCCGACGUAGCUCAGCUGGUAGAGCAGCUGAUUCGUAAUCAGCAGGUCGGCGGUUCGAAUCCGCCCGUCGGCUCCA